Paramisgurnus dabryanus is the source of this 6292-nucleotide long non-coding RNA. RefSeq lists it as uncharacterized. The record is from RefSeq and is a predicted model, not a curated record. Lineage: Eukaryota; Metazoa; Chordata; Actinopteri; Cypriniformes; Cobitidae.
AUUAUGCUUUCUUUUCAUAUUAUUAUACUUUAUUUUUCAUCCUAUUUUUCAUUUUUUAAUUACAAAGUUCAUUGAGUGUGUUUCACAUGAGAAUCAUGUUUUUCUGCUAACGUACAGAAUUAUGCUCUUUCUGUCUUUUCAGCAAGUACAAAUGUCCAAGGACUUAAACAUCAUGUGCAGUCCUAUAUGAUAAGAUAACGAAUGAAUCAUUUAGCUAGAAACCCAGUAAACAGUAGAGUUUACUGAGAACAAGACAUAUGUUUUAUGAUGUCAUUAGAUUUAUGUUUAACUGUUUGUUUCUUAAUCAGUGACGAAUUGAAGGUUGUUUCUCUAAAUGACGUGGUAACUGAUGAUUAUACGUGUUUCAGCAUCUUGCUAUAAAUAUGUGUUCAGCCUUGUAAUCGGGGCUCUUAGGUUUUUAAACUUCUUGCACCGCGAGGGUGAGAGCCUAUUCUGCAGAAUAUAAAUAUAUAUAUAUUAAAUUCAGACAAAGAAAAUUCUGUUAACAGUGUGUCUGUGUGAUCCUUGACUUUUGCUCUUAGUGAGUAUUAUUUGAUGCGGCUAAAAUUCCACGACAAUAAUGGCGACGAGGAUGCGGAUUCCACAGCUGUAGACUCCAGGUUUGGGAGAGACUGACUGAUCACCCCUGAGACAAGAGGUCUCGGGCUCCGUACCCCAGGCCUAAGGGAAGGGAGAGUCUCAACCAUUUCUGAAGUCAAAGCUGACGGAAUCUGGAAAAGAACCGUUGUGGUGGCAUCUGAAUAGAUAAUACGGUAAGCGUUAUUUCGUUCGUGACCAUGGGUCAGGGUAAUUCGAAAGGGAGUACAAAGUCAAUGGAUCUGGAAAAUGGCGUGUAUGCUCGAGUGAUCAAAUCAAAGGGCACGGGGGCGUUGGAAAGCGUAAAAUCUGGGAGAAAAGGUAUAAUUUUCCUCCUAAAGGGACACUGAGUGUAAAAGCACUCACUUUAUUAAGGGAAAAGAUCAUUGCGGAUGGCAGAGAAAUGAGAGCACAGAGUAAGAUAAGAACCAAGGACGAACUGACUCAGACUAAGUCAGAGCUAAACAUUAAGCAAAUGUUUUUCCUACAUCAGAUUCAUUACAUGAUGAACCUAACUUUCUGUUUUUUUUCCUCCUCCAUAUGCACCUGCACGUACCCCACCUGGGGUACAUUUCUCUUAUACAAAGGUACCUCUUCUAGACGGUGAUCUCCAACCCCCUCCAAGAAGACUCCCACAACCACCCGCACAAGAAGCAUUACCAAAAAUACCAACUGCACCCCCGCCACCGCCAGCACAAGAACUAUCACCUGGGCUAAACCCACCAAUCCUCCUCGACAGCAUCUUGGAAGAGGAAGAGGAGGAAGUCCAGAUAAAAACAUCAACACAGGAGAGGUAACAUCCUGGGAAUCCUACCUAAAAGCAAAUGUUCCUCGGGGAACUUCAACCUGUAAUUUCAACAAAGGUGAAGCAAACCUGCAUCAGAUGGGAAUCAGGAAAGCUGAGUGAGGUCAUUACACAUUCUCUACAUGCUGAACGCCUGCAUGAAGAAAAACGAAAGCAGCAGAGAAAGGCAAAUCAACAACUAUCUUCAGCUUUUGUCAAGAUAAGCGAAUGGGGCCAGCAACGACAUAAUCAGCACAGUUUCCCUUCACAAGGACAACGUUUCCAGGAGAACUGGCAACAAAGAGAAAGAGAGAAAAAGAGCGAAAGCAGUGGCAAGAAAAUCAGAGAGAGAAGAUUUGCUGGUAUUGCGGACAGAAAGAACACUUGAAAAACCAAUGUUUUCAUUUCCUAAAUUCUCCAGAGCAACCAGAAUCCCAGGCGGACGCGGGAAACUUUGCGGGGUGUAAAGAAAAAGGGGACUGAAGCCAGGAGGGGGAAAGAGAGAAUCGGACGGAAGGGGGUAAGUCCAAUCUUGUUUUUUCUGCGGUUCAAAUGCCAUAUUAUCUGCUUGCUAAUUCUGUUUUUCUGAUGUGUGUGAAAGGGAAAGAAACGCUCUAUGCAAUGAAGAACUUGCUUUGCUUGAUGCUGAACGAGAGGCAACAUCUCUAAACUGCCUCUCGAAGAAAUAAUGUUUGAGGGACAGGCAUUGUUGUUUAUGGUAGACUCUGCUGCAAUCAACUCUGACAUACGCAAAGAUGAAUUCCCAUUUGUCACCUUGAGUGGGCAGUUUAACUCAUCUAUGAGUGCUACGGGGCAUAUAGUGAGGGAAGAAUUUACUGCUCCACUCUGUUGUAUGCAUGACGGUAACAAGUUUAUGCAUAUGUUCCUUUUAUCUGACGCGUGUCCGGUAAACCUCAUGGGGAGGGAUUUGAUGUGUAAAAUUAAUGCUAGCAUCUUAUGUAACAACCAAGGCCUGAAUAUUUCUUGUUGGGAUCCCAGAAUGUCAUCUAUAUGUAUGUCUCUGUUAUAUAUGUGUAUGAAUGGGCCUUUCUGAAUGAAGAGUUGCAUGCUGAAGGGAAGAUAAGAUUGCCACAAGCCAGCGAGGUCAUUCCAGCUGAAAACAUGCAUUGCACAAGCUCAUGUUGUUGACAUAACAGAAAGAGAGUGGCAAGAGAGAUGGUUUUCUGUAAAGACAGAGGGUUUUGACUUAAACCCAUAUAUGCUGGAAUGACUCAUGGUGUGUGGCACUCGUUCAGUUGACAGGAAAGCAGGAACAAAUUUUUGAUUUUGACAAUUCAGUACCCCACAUCUCCAUUGCAAAAAUACUACUCAGCCGUUAGAAAUGCAGGUGAAUUUGCAAAGGCCUGCAGCGAGGCUGUUGAUUGGGAACCAUUGGCAGAUAGCAUACAGUUCUCAGAGCAGUUAUCAGCACACAGAAGAGAUUAUGCUGCUUUUUCAUGGCUGAGAGAGAGAGAGUUGUAAUACAGAAAGCUGUUUCUGCAGAUUUCAACUCACAAAACAGUUUGUCAGUACACAUGACGUGUGCUAGUAUUGAUUUACCGCAAAAAGUUCUUGACAAUGUACCUGAUUACCUGUGGGCUAAAGACAAGUAUGAUGUGGGCUUGAUUAAAGGGUGUGAACCAGUAACUAUCACCCCAAAGAGUGAUUAUAGACCAUGUAAACCCCAAUAUCCUCUGAAAAGGGAGGCGCUUGAGGGGAUAAGGCCAGUAUUUUAGGCAUUAUUGGGAUAAUUAUUCCCUGCCCACACUCACCUGUGAGAACACCCAUUUUUCCUGUACAAAAGGUCAGGGAUGCAGGUCAGCCCACAGAGUGGAGGUUUGUUCAAGAUCUCCAAGCAGGAAAUGCUGUGGUACAAGCAAGAGCACCUCACGUGCCAAACCCUUACACAAUUUCUCACAGAUACCAGCUGAUGGCCAGUGGUUUUCAAGUGCAUUCUUCAGAGUUCUCUGUCCAUUCUGAUAGCCAGUUUUGGUUUGAUUUUACAUUUAAGGGGUAUAGCGAGAGCCGCACUAUUUACAAACUCUGCAUUGCAUUGUUCAUUACAGACACUUGUGUUGGAUGAUGAUGUUGCUUUAUUGCAGUACGUGGAUGACCUCUUGGUGGCGGCACCGACUCAGCAGUCGUGCACAGACAACACCAUACGGUUGCUCACUCAUCUAGCUGAGGAGGGCCACAAGGUCAACCCCAAAAAGGAACAGUGCUCUGUCCAGAAAGUAACCUUUCUAGGACAUGAAAUUACACCAAUGGGUAAGUCUCUCUCUCCAAAGAGAAUAGAGGCAAUAGCUAAUAUAACAAAACCCAUCACAAAGAAACAAGUAAUGUCAUUUUUGGGCAUGACAUCAUAUUGCAGGACUUUUAUUGCUAAUUAUUCUGAGAUGCAACAACCAUUGCAUGACAUGAUUUAUGAGAAACCUUUGGCACCAUCAGAGAAGGUAGAAUGGACAGAGAAGGCUGAAAGGGCAUUUGUGGAACUAAAACAGACAUUACAGCAGGCACCCACUUUAGGGUUGCCAGACCCAAAAAAGCGUUUUAUUCAAACUGUGGAUGAAAGAAAUGGCUGUAUGACCUCUGUUUUGUUACAAGAGCAUGGUGACAAGUUGAGACCAGUUGCGUAUUUUUCAGGACGCCUUGAUGCGGUGGCCAGGGGCCUACCAGGAUGUCUCAGGGCAGUGGCAGCUGCAGAGAAAGCUGUGCAAGCGAGCAGUGAGUUUGUGGGGUAUGCACAGCUACGACUGUUGGUCUCACAUACUGCUCCAACAGCGCACAUCUCACUUGUCUGCAGCAAGGUGGCUGCGUUAUUCCUGUGCAUUGUUACAAAUGUCUAAUGUCACAGUUGAAAGAUGUACAGUUCUUAACCCGGCGACAUUGUUACCUACACCUGAUGAAGGUACACCACAUUGCUGUUUGUCUGCCCUACGGGAAGUAUGUACACCAAGACCAGACCUUACUGACACACCCAUACCUAAUUGCACCCUGACAUAUUAUGUGGAUGGGUCCUCUUCCAGAGACGACAGAGGUAUAAACAGGGUGGGGUGGGCGGUCGUGUCUGACUUUGAAGUAGUGAAAUCCGGAUGCUUACCACCUCAUAAUUCUGCAAAGGUGGCUGAAUUGCAUGCACUAACACAAGCUUGUCAACUUGCUACUAAUCAAUCUAUAACCAUUUACAUUGACUGCUGAUUUUACUGACAGUUUCUCUCCUAUAACAAAUUUUACUCCUUUCUCAAAUAGCUGUGUGCAAAUGCAAAGCACACACCAAGGAACAGGACGUGAUCUCCAGAGGAAAUGCACGCACGGAUGCGGAAGCAUCUCUCAUGACUACUAACAAAAACGUUUCUCUUACACAGAUUUCCCAGGAAAAGGAAGCCGAAACACCACAGGAGUUACUAAUAAGCAUUCAAACAUUUUCUCUUCCAACAGAAAUAGCUCUAUGGAAAUCGUGUGGAGCAACCAAAACUCCUGAAGGGAUUUGGAUGGGUCCAAAUCAAAAACCUUGCUUACCUAAACAUUUUUAUUCCCAUUUUGCUAGGUUGACACAUGGGGACCACGGUGACAUGCGAUACUCUUCAAAAUGAAAAUGACAUGUUGCAAUAUUGUAUUUCUAUGUCCUCUGUAUUUCAAAAUAUCUCCAAAGCAGGUUAAAUCAGCCCUACCCCGUCCAGUAGAAGAACCAUUACACAACAUCAAACCAGGGGAUUACGUGGUGGUAAAGAACCUCAGGAGGAAAUCCUGGAAAGCCAGACGGUGGGAGGGGCCAUUUCAGGUUCUGCUGACGACUCACACUGCCGUGAAAGUCGCGGAGCGUGCCACCUGGGUGCACGUUGCCCAUUGCCGGAGGGUUGGUCCUGGACUGCAAGGUGCAAACCAAAGGGAGGACGGCUAGUCGACUGCUACGGACCACUUUUUCGUAUUGGUGGGAACCACAGAUACCUGUAUACUGCAAGUUUAUACGAAGAACGACACGAGAGAACUGCAACAGCUCACAAGGUAUUGGAGGACGACUCCAGUAUUCUGGGUUUGGUUUGGACACACGCACACGACAUCUUUAAUGAUAGCUUGGCACGACUACACCGUGUGGUCCUACCAAACCCGAACCUACAAAGGAAAUUAAUCAACAAGGGCUCACGACCCCAACUCUAACUGUGCUCAGGGCUCACGACCCCAACUCUAACUGUGCUCAAUUUCUUCAAGAAAACAAACUAUUUUUCUUCUUUCAAAAAUGAGAUUCAUGAUCAUACUAUGUGUGUGUGCAUUUUUACUUUUGCAACUGCACACAACUAUAUGUACACUAUGGUUAAGGGUAAUAACCAGAGCUACGUAACGAUGACAGUAAAUGGAGUUAUGAAUAAAUCAUAAAAAGGGAGGAGUGUAGUGGAGGAUUUAUUAUGCUUUCUUUUCAUAUUAUUAUACUUUAUUUUUCAUCCUAUUUUUCAUUUUUUAAUUACAAAGUUCAUUGAGUGUGUUUCACAUGAGAAUCAUGUUUUUCUGCUAACGUACAGAAUUAUGCUCUUUCUGUCUUUUCAGCAAGUACAAAUGUCCAAGGACUUAAACAUCAUGUGCAGUCCUAUAUGAUAAGAUAACGAAUGAAUCAUUUAGCUAGAAACCCAGUAAACAGUAGAGUUUACUGAGAACAAGACAUAUGUUUUAUGAUGUCAUUAGAUUUAUGUUUAACUGUUUGUUUCUUAAUCAGUGACGAAUUGAAGGUUGUUUCUCUAAAUGACGUGGUAACUGAUGAUUAUACGUGUUUCAGCAUCUUGCUAUAAAUAUGUGUUCAGCCUUGUAAUCGGGGCUCUUAGGUUUUUAAACUUCUUGCACCGCGAGGGUGAGAGCCUAUUCUGCAGAAUAUAAAUAUAUAUAUAUUAAAUUCAGACAAAGAAAAUUCUGUUAACAGUG